GGAGGGGUGGCCGAGUGGCUGAAGGCGCACGCUUGGAAAGCGUGUAUACGGGAAACUGUAUCGAGGGUUCGAAUCCCUCUCCCUCCGCCA
This 90-nucleotide transfer RNA is filed under the name Rhodobacterales bacterium. Its description in RNAcentral is "tRNA-Ser". It matches the Rfam family "tRNA". From Rfam's summary of the family: Transfer RNA (tRNA) molecules are approximately 80 nucleotides in length. Their secondary structure includes four short double-helical elements and three loops (D, anti-codon, and T loops). RNAcentral also lists the same sequence under 1 other name. The record is from RNAcentral. Lineage: Bacteria; Pseudomonadati; Pseudomonadota; Alphaproteobacteria; Rhodobacterales.